RNAcentral lists this ribosomal RNA (352 nucleotides) under Escherichia coli. RNAcentral describes it as "partial 23S ribosomal RNA". It matches the Rfam family "Bacterial large subunit ribosomal RNA", at positions 711 to 1060 of the family's 2925-position model. The record is from RNAcentral. Lineage: Bacteria; Pseudomonadati; Pseudomonadota; Gammaproteobacteria; Enterobacterales; Enterobacteriaceae.
AGACCCGAAACCCGGUGAUCUAGCCAUGGGCAGGUUGAAGGUUGGGUAACACUAACUGGAGGACCGAACCGACUAAUGUUGAAAAAUUAGCGGAUGACUUGUGGCUGGGGGUGAAAGGCCAAUCAAACCGGGAGAUAGCUGGUUCUCCCCGAAAGCUAUUUAGGUAGCGCCUCGUGAAUUCAUCUCCGGGGGUAGAGCACUGUUUCGGCAAGGGGGUCAUCCCGACUUACCAACCCGAUGCAAACUGCGAAUACCGGAGAAUGUUAUCACGGGAGACACACGGCGGGUGCUAACGUCCGUCGUGAAGAGGGAAACAACCCAGACCGCCAGCUAAGGUCCCAAAGUCAUGGUU